UUUCAAAUCACCUUUUACCUUCUCGCUUCCCUUUUCACACUUCUUCUUCUUCUAUAAGUUUCUAGCUGCCAUCUUAUUUCCUUCCAUGCCGUGAAUUCCCUUCUAUCCACCGUAUUCUAGGUACGUUUCCACCAUUUUUUUCCCUUUAUGCACUCUAUUCAACGGUUAUUUACUAUUCCGUUGAGGUAUAUGUGCUUUCUUUCAUUCUGUUGCAUCUAAUUAAUUUUGUAGGCUUCCCUUCGUAGCUUUCAUUCAUCUUACCUUGUUUGUGUUAUCUGUUAGUGUGUUUUUUUUGUUUAAAUCAUGGAUUACUCCUCUACUUACCCUUGGGCAAAGAAGGAUUUGGUCAUGGAAACCUUUGUAUAUACUUUUCGUGAGAAAAAUAGAAAUCUUCGUGUGUUGUGUAAUUUAAGUAAAACCGAUGAAAUCCUGGUCAGGGUAGUCCACUGUGAACUCGAUGAACUGGUUUCUAAAGAUGAGUCUUGUGACUCUUCCUCGGUAUAUUCUGCUUUUUUUACGACACAAAGUUUACAAAAUGGCCUCUUUGGCUCCCUUUAACCAUGUUUGAAAUGAAAAUUUUAACCGAGUUAAAUUUUUCUCCGACCAAACUGUAUGCUCUUAGUUCGGAAUAUCUCCGACUUUGAACAUUUUCUUUUAUUUCUUUGAGUUCAGGAAAUUCAACAACUAGUUGUGGUCUUGCCUCAAUAGCUGCGGGGGGAGAAGUUUGUUCUCGCUCUUCCAAUCUUCAUACAAAAAUUCAAAGGCUAUUUUUUUUUUGAAAAUUCGACCUUCUCCCAAACAUUCAACCCUUAUGACGAGUUCCCUUUUUAUUGGUGUCACAAACCCCGUUUCCAAAGCACCUGCCAACUUCCCAACCUUGAUCUGAUGGAGCGAGGAUUUUGUGAGUUCUUUUAGAGUCUUCCAAGCCAUUUUCGAUACCCCUACUAUUCUGAAGCGCGAAUACCGAUUGGAAAUGCUAACAACUUACAUCGGUAUAACAUCUCCUUCGAUCUUUUGUCAUGUUUUUGCUUUAAUUUGUUUGAGUGUGUUCUAACCAAUUUUUUUUUAUGUUUUUUGUAAAAAAAAUGUUUUCCUCUUUGAGCAAGGCUGUGUUGGCGGAUCGAGUACAAAUAGUGCAUGCUGCGAAGACCACUUUGGUGGCCAACUCGAUCGCUCCCGGUGGAAUUCACGUCUAGUCUGAUCAAGGCGGAUGUACCAUAUCGGGAGUGGGACUUAAGAGGAAAAGAUCGAAAGCCCCAAUCCCCUCUCAACACUCAUGCUUGGAUGUCCAGGGACCAAAUGUGGAAGUCUUGGAGGUUGGCCCAUAAAGUGCGGUGAUUGCUCUAAAGGGAAAACAAGUUUUUGGGAGGCCACUUUCGACAUCUCGAAUGAUAACAAGACACAAUACUUGCUUGAAGAGGACGUAAUUUGAUUCAAGGAUUCAAAGGUUGGCCUUUUCUGCAUAAAUGUUGAGAGCUUGCUUAGCCAAGCCACUCCUUUUAUAUUCAUGGCGAAUGUCAAAGCAAACAAAGAUGCUCUUGGGAGGAGAGAAGGAACCAAUAGUUAGUUGAUCUUCAAAAAUAGGUUGAUUGACUUCAAGCAGAGGCUUUAGAAGUGGAUCGCCUUCAUGCCAAUGUGCCAACCGUUUUAUUCACCAACAAAACAGAAAAGUUCCAAAUAACCAAUGAAAAUACGCAACAAGAAAUUUCAACUAAAAAAAAAUUUAAGGCUUGUCGCAUUCCAAGUUCGCAAAAUUUCACCACCAUCUAAGGUCUCUAAUCAAUGCGCUCUGUUGCCAAGUGCUUUCGUAACUCGGUAUGGUUCUGUCCAUUUCGGCGAUAACUUGUUCUCCAUCUAACAAGGGUGAGCCUUUCGUAGUACUAGAUCGGCCACCUUGAACUGCAAGGAUGGAUCUUUAUUUUGUACCUUCUUUCAACUCUCCGUUUCAGCGCCUCAAAAUUUAUUUGAACACCUCAAAAUUCACAUCUAAUAAAUCCAAGUUCACUUGUCGCCUUUCAUCUGAUCCAUUGGUGACAAAGUUCAACAAUCUGUGUGAUUUCUCCAAUGCUUCUACUGAGAUCAUGGCAUCGGUCCUAAAAACUAGGCUAAAAGGAGUUUUCGGUGUUGUGGAUUGAGGGUUGGUGUGAUGGGACCACAAAAAUCCUCAAGAUCUCAUCGGGCCAUCCUCCUUUUGCUUACUCAAGCCUUUUUAUAAUCCUCGCAGUAACACUCUAAUGGCUGACUCGGUCUGAUCGUUAGUUUUGGGGUGCUCGAAAGAUGUGAAGACCUGUUUGAUUCCUAAUUCAACAUAAUCCCAUCUAUCAUUGUGUAUUUGCUUGCAUUUUUUUAUGAGCUUGUCUUCUUCCCGAUCUGGUGGGAUAAGUGUGUCUGCCAGAUAUCAGAUGUAGGGGGUGUUGAUCAAGAGUGAUCAUGUGCUUUGAAGAAUCCAAAUCCAAGGUGUUUGAUGAAAGGUUGGUGUCGCUGCUGUGUUUGGGUGGGAUCUGGGUAUAAUAACAUGUGAUCCACUCCUUUGUUGAAUCUAAAACUCAUGUGAUUUAAAACCUUUUUUAAAUCAAGUGUUUUUCCAACUAAGUGAAAAACAACCUAUUGUUUUGUCGAAUCAACCGGUUGUUUUGCUCUUAGGAGUUUUGAAAAAGGUUGAAAACUGUUUUGGUUUGGUUGAAAUAACUGUCAAGCCAAAACAAUCGGUUGUUACGUGGUUUCAACCGAUUGUUUCUUUGAAAAUCCUAACAGAAUACAGUUUUGAAUGGUGAAUCUAUUUUAAAUAUUUUCUAACUAAAUACACUCCUUCAUUAAUUGCUUUGAUAAAUCUUUGGAAAAUAUAAUUUGUUUAUGUUUUCAAACAUGUAAGAAACAGUUUUGAAAUUCAAUUUUGACAUAUUUGAUUCUAAGAUUUCAAGAUUCACAUCAAGCUUUGGAUUUCAAGUGAGAGUGGAAUAGGAUUGCAAUUGUAUUCAAUUCAGAUUGUACUGUGAUCAGGUGUAAUCCUUUCUAAAACUACUGUAUUUUCGGUGUUUUGUUGCCAAGGAGUAUUGUGUGUUCUUGAGGUGUUCAAGAUCAAAACUCUUGGUGUGGUUUUGCCAAAGGUAGUGUGUUUCUUGAAGGGUUCAAGGUCACUACUUUGGUGGUUUGUAUUUUGUAAUCCGGUUUGAUUGCUUAGUGGAUUACCAGUGGUUUUCUGGGCAUUGAAUGUUGUUAGAAUAUAUGGCCUUAAACAAGAGGGGGUGAAUUGUUUAAAGGGGGUUUUCGAAAACUUCUUAAGCUAGAACAAAAUCCUUUGUAUGAAACUCAAUCAGAAAUUCAGUUAGCCAAGAUAUAAAGCACAAAACAGUAAAGCACCAGAAAAACAAUCGGUUGUUUCUUCGAAACAAUCGAUUGUUUAUACCAGCAAAUCAAUACAACUGAAUUUAAAUGAGUUUAAGGGAAAAAGAGAAACACAAACAAUUUAUAUUGGUUCACUCUUAAACCAAGAGCUACAUCCAGUCCCCAGAAUUCACUGGGCAAUCCACUAAGCAAUCAAAUACAGAUUACACACAAAACCACCAAAGAAGUGACCUUGAACCCUUCAAGAAACACACUUCCUUUGGCAUAACACACACCAAGAAUGUUGAUCUUGACAACCUCAAGAACACACAACACUCCUUGGCUUACAACACCAGAAAAUACAAAGUAUUCAGAAUGAAUUACACUUGUUUACAAAAUAAACUGAAAUCAAUACAAAUGUAAUCCUAUUUGACUCUCUCGUGAGAAAACCAAAGCUAAAAAGUGAAUGUCCAAAACUUGAAAGCAAUCUCUCACAACUGAAAAACUCAAAUCUGUUUUUCUUGUUUGUUAUAAAACAUAAACAACUUUUUUAUAGCUUUCAAAGAUUGGUCAAAGCAUUUAAUACAUGAGCGUAUUCAGUUGAAAAUCAUUUAAAGCACACUCAACUAAAAAAACAGAAUUUAUGUUAGGAUUUUCAAACAAACAAUCGAUUGAAAGCAAGAAACAAUCGAUUUUUUUGGUUUGACAACAAGUCAACCAACCAAAACAGUUUUCAACCUUUUCAAAAAUACCUAAGAGUAAAACAAUCGGUUGUUUCGACAAAACAACAGGUUGUUUUUCACUUAGUUUGAAAAACACUUUAAUCUUAAAACAUUUAAAAACACUUUAUCUUUAGAUUAAACAAAGAGUGAAUUACACAUAUAAACUACCCAGAUCCUAUCCUAAACACAGCAGCAACUUCAGCUUUGCAUCAAACACUUGGAUUUGGAUUCUUCAAAGCCUUUCAUCACUCUUGAUUCAGCAGGUGUAGCUCUUGGCUAAACAGUGAACCAGUAUAAACUAUUUGUGUGUUUCUCUCUUACCCUGAACUCAUUUAAAUUCUAUUUUAAGCUUAACUGAUAUAAAUAACCAAUUGUUUCGAAGAAACAACCGAUUUUUUUUUUCUGUGUAUUGAUGUUUAACUGCUUGAGUUCUUGGCUAACUUGAUUCCUGUUAUGGAUUUAUACAAAGAAUUUCAUUCAACCUGAAAAAGUUUUCAAAAACCCCUUUUAAACAAUUCACCCCCUCUUGUUUAAGGCCAUAUAUUCUAACACGUGGUCAUCCAGGUGUCCGUGUUUCAUAUUUGCAAGAUUUCUACGUUUUCUACCGACGAAUCGAAAUGUGUUGCCAUUCUUUGCAGUUUCAAGGUUUCCUGUACGUUUAUCUGUCUGGUUAUAAGCAGUGAUCUCUCUUCGCCAACAACUUAUGUGCAUCUAGUUCCUUGGUUAGCAGCACACUGACGAUGACUGUUUCAUACUUCGCUUGGUUAUUGCUUACUUUAAAAGAAAAUUUCAAAGAUUCUUCAACUAGAACACCAUUGGGUCCUAUGAGUCUUUAGGGUAGGCGUUGUUAAGGUUUGAAAUCUACACACAUUCUUCAUUUUCCGCUUUACUUUUUCACCAUUACUACGUUCGCCAACCAUUCGGGCUAUUGGAUUUCCCUUAUAUGGUCGGCCUUUAGGAGCUUGUGGGUCUCUUCUCUCACUGUUUGUUGCUCUUCCUCAUUGAUUUUAUGUAUCCUUUGCGCUACUGGUUUUGCGCUACUUGCGGCUGGUUGCUUAAUGUUUUGGACACUCAAUACUUGGGGUUUAUUCACAUCAAGGAAAUUUACAAAGAUGACCUUGAUUUUUCUCUCAUCUUUCAAGAGUGCUCAAAAGGUGGCCACAAAAACUUUUUCAUACAUGAUGGUUUUCUCUUUGAUAAAAUCUCUUGUUAGGGAGGCACAUGAGGGUGGGUUAAUGGGACACUUUGGGUAGCAAAAGCCUUAGAUACCUUGCAUGAACAUUUCUUUUGGCCCCAUAUGCGAAUAUUCGUACAUAACUUAUGUGAUAAGUGCAUAGCAUGUAGGAAGGCUAAGUCUAAGGUGCAACCCCAUGGUUUAUAUACCCCUCUCCCCAUCCCUGACAUGCAUUAAGUAGCCAUCUUUAUGGAUUUCAUUUUAGGUCUUCCCAAGAAAUCUAAGGGUAUGGAUUCUAUCUUUGUGGUAGUGGAUCCUUUUUCCAAAAUGACCCAUUUUAUUCCAUGCCACAAAGUAGAUGAUGCUUGUUAUAUUGCAAAUCUCUUCCUUAAGGAAGUUGUUAGAUUGCAUGAGAUUCUUAGCAGUAUAGUAUCUAUUAGAGACUCUAAGUUCUUAAGUCACUUCUAGAAGACAUUAUGGGGGGCACUUGGCAUCAAACUCUUGUUUUCUACUACUUUUCAUCCCCAAACUAAUGAUCAGACAGAAGUGGUCAAUAGAACUUUGGCCCAAAUGUUGAGAUGUCUUAUUUCUGGGAACCCAAGGGUGUGGGAAAAUGUACUUCCUCAUAUUGAAAUUGUUUAUAAUCGAGUAGUUAACUCUACUACUUCUCACACCCCUUUUGAGAUUGUGAAUGGGUUCAAUCCCCUCACAUCCCUUGACCUACUUCCUAUUCUAGUACCUGAUGAGGUGUUGUGCAAUGAUGGUUUUGAAAAAACAUAUUUUAUUAAAAACUUGCACCACCACAUCAAGCGCCAAAUUGAAAGGAAGGUAGGCAAGUAUGCACAAUUUUCCAAUAAGGGGUGCAAGGCAUUGAUCUUUGAACACCAAGGACUGGGUUUAGCUUCACUUGAGGAAGGAUCAUUUUCCUACUGAGAGGAAAUCCAAACUCCUACCACGUGGUGAUGGUCCCUUCCAAGUCAUCAAUAGGAUCAAUGAUAAUUCUUAUGAGUUAGAUUUACUUGAAACGUAUUUAUGGAGUCAUUAUUUUAAUGUUAGUGAUUUAACUCCUUUCUCUGCAGGUGUUGCAAAUUCGUGGACAAAUUCUCUCCUACCCGGAUAGCAUGUUGAAGACUUGAGAGAUAGAGCAUUCACAGACAAAGCCUAACCCUCCAGAAGGAUGAUCAGGAGCAUGACAUAGGAUUCAGGGCUAGGUCAGGACCCACCACUAGCAAGUGCUUCAUGGCCCAUCAUUCCUUAAAGGAUCACCAGAAGUAGACCCCAAGCCAUAGGAGUUGAGCAUCAGCUAGUCUCUUUGUUUUUAAUUUCAGUAGAGUGUGGUUUUUUUAGCAUAAUAGGGGGUAUUUAUCAUUUCAGCUUAUGCUUAGGCCAUUAGGAUUAUAAUGUUGCCCUAGCUUGUAGAAUCUAAACUAAGGGGCGAUAUUAACCUUGGUCAAACCCCUAGGUUGCCCCUCUCAUAUGCCUUUUAUGCCCCUUCCCCAUCUUGCCCACCAAGGCACCCAUUCUUAUAAAAAGGGUGCCUUGCAUCAUGUAUUUUCACAUAUAUUUUGAAAAGUAAAGAAACUUUGCAUGAGUGAUUAGUGAGCUUGUCUCAUAAAUUAUUUUGAGUCUUAUCUUGAGUGUGUGAGCAUUUCAAGUGGCGACUCUUCCUCACUUAUCUUGGAGUUCCCACCCUAGGUAGGAUGGGAAAAGGGGAAAAAGGGGCAGCCUUAGGGUUUGACUAAGUCAAAUUCGCACCCUAGGCUCAUCCUUCUAGAAACUAGGUCAAAACUCCUUCCUAAAGGGCUAGGAACAAGCUAAAAUGAUACCUACACCCCCUAUUAUGCUAAAGCCACCUUAUUCUAGCCUAUCUUUGCUAUUUGGACCCCUAAAUUGAGAGCAAAUUAUUUACAACAAAUUUUAUUCUUUAAGAAGACCAGCAGGAAGAAUAUUUGGUGCUCUACUUUAUGCCCAUUUCCUCUGGUCAGGGCCAUGAGCUCCUUGGUGGGGUCUUGAAUUGUUUGCUGAGAUGACUACUCAUCAUGUGUUUUGUCUUUUACUUCUUUGGUCAUCUUCAUAGCUACUUGGUUUGUAUCACCAUAUAUUGUGUUUUUCCUUUUGUCCUCUAGAAGUGAACCUUCACACUUAGUCAACCACUUGGUUAAGUUUGUGUCAAGUGGGGAUCUUCUUUGGAUCUCACACCAUAAUUGCCAAAAUCCAAAAAAUCAUAAACAAAUGUCACCAUAAAAUGUGCAAUUCUAAAAUCAACUCACAUCAUGUGGUAUUCAGAGCAUGGUUAUUUUGUGCUUAUUUUCUUUGAGUUGAUUUCGACAAUUUAUUUUCUAACACAUUUAAAUUCUUGCUUUACCUUCAAGUAAUUUAAAUUUCGUCUUUACAUUCUUGUCCUCUACAAUUUCACAAUUUUUAUUCUUUAAGCACUUUAAAUUCCGAUUUUUAAUUUUAUUUUGUGUUAAAUUUUUUUUCCUUACAUCUUUUGCUUUAGUCCUUUGUUCUUAAUCUUCUAUGAUUUUGUAUACCUAUGUUGAUUUUAAUUGUGAACAGUUAAAAACAAAUUGGAAGUUGUGUGAGUAGUGGUUGAUUUAAUUCCACAUAGAGUGUAAAUGUUCAUAUGACUUGAUCCAAACCUAACAUCUUUUUGAAAAGUGAAAAGUGGAAUGACA
RNAcentral lists this long non-coding RNA (7898 nucleotides) under Phaseolus vulgaris (common bean). RNAcentral's name for it is "long non-coding RNA (PVUL_LNC005109)". The record is from RNAcentral. Lineage: Eukaryota; Viridiplantae; Streptophyta; Magnoliopsida; Fabales; Fabaceae.